Non-coding RNA from Cyanistes caeruleus (blue tit), 531 nucleotides. The record is from RefSeq and is a predicted model, not a curated record. Lineage: Eukaryota; Metazoa; Chordata; Aves; Passeriformes; Paridae.
AACUACAGUGCGCUCGGAUAAAGCAGCUAUUAUGUCACUCAAAUGUGCAUGAAAUCACAAACUGGGAGGGAAUACAACUAUUCUGAACACAGCUGAAAUCCUAUUCACUCUGAGCAAUAGGAAUAAGUGGGCUAAGAUCAAUUACACCAAGCACAGUAUCAAGCAAUAAUUGUGCAACACUGCAGAUGAGGGAGGAGUUUGCAACUUGGAGGUUUCCAAUAACCAGAUUUCAGCCCAGUCUCUGUACACUGCAGACUGAUAUUAGAAAAUAAUUCCAAGUUUAAAGAGCUGAUUGUACCAAAUGUGGGAAUUCUCGAUCUCUGUUAGGAUGUCUGCAAUCUUCUUUAAAUUCCAGCACUGAGCAGAGUCUUCAGAGAAGAUCCUCACUGCAGGAGCCCUGCCCAAAUGCAGGCACAGUAAACAGGUGAACUGAAGGGGAUGGAUUCUGACAACCACAAAAUGCACCCUCACACUUCAGCAUCUUCAUUGACCCAUGAUUAGUGAAUUUAAAGAUCUAAUCAGCAUGUGAGU